UACGUAGGGGGCUAGCGUUGUUCGGAAUUACUGGGCGUAAAGCGCACGUAGGCGGAUUUGUAAGUCAGGGGUGAAAUCCCGGGGCUCAACCUCGGAACUGCCUUUGAUACUGCAAAUCUCGAGUCCGAUAGAGGUGGGUGGAAUUCCUAGUGUAGAGGUGAAAUUCGUAGAUAUUAGGAAGAACACCGGUGGCGAAGGCGGCCCGCUGGAUCGGUACUGACGCUGAGGUGCGAAAGCGUGGGGAGCAAACAGG
Molecule: ribosomal RNA, 253 nt
Filed under: uncultured bacterium
Lineage: Bacteria
Description: partial 16S ribosomal RNA
Rfam family: Bacterial small subunit ribosomal RNA
Source: RNAcentral